AGAAAGUCGCUCGUUAAGAGACUAUGUCGUUUCGUUGGUCUAAAGUAUUCUAUCAAGCAUAAGAAGGCCAACCAUUCAAGCACAUAAUUUCGAGAUUAAGUCGGCCACUAUUACUAUGAUCCAAACAUCAAUUUAAUCUGAAAGUCUUCCAAAUGAUUAUCUGAACAUGCAUAUCUCAAACUUCCUAGAGAUAUGUGAUACAUUUAAGCACAAUGGAGUCAUGGAUGAUGCAAUUCGCCUGUCGUUGUUCCCUUUCUUGUUGUGGGACAAGGCGAAGGUGUUGUUGAGCUCGUUGCCCACUAGCUUAAUUACAACAUGGGAUGACCUUGCCCGGAAAUUCCUUGCCAAAUUCUUUCUUCUAGCAAAAACAGCAAAGAUGAGGAACGAUAUUACUUCGUUUACACAGUUUGAUGGUGAGUCAUUGUACGAAGCCUGGGAGAGAUACAAGGACUUACUUAGGCGCUAUCCUUAUCAUGGUCUUCCAAAAUGGCUCCAAGUGUAAAUGUUUUAUAAUGGAUCGAAUGGUCAGAUACGACCUACCAUUGAUGCUGUUGGAGGAGCCUUCAUGGCGAAGUCCAUUGAUGAUGCAUACAACUCCCAAUGGCCAUUGGAGCGAUCUACACAUAGAAAAGUAGCUGGAGUUCUCAAAAUGGAUGCCAUCACAGCAUUAACUGCACAAGUAGUUGCUAUAACAAAAAAUGUUGAUUCUUUUGGCACUAAUAUUGUUCAAAAUCCGUUUGUAGUGUGUGAAUAUUAUGGAGAUUGACACGCUAGUGAUCAAUGCCUAGUUGGCAACAUAGACACUAUUCAGUUUAUGGGGAACAAACAGCAAAACAACCCUUUCUCCAACCCCAAAAUUACCAGAUGGAGGAACCAUCCAAACUUAUCAUAAGGAAACAAUCAAGGAGCAUCAGUUUCAGGGUCGAAUAUUUCUCUUGGUUUUCAACAGUAAUCAAGAGCCUUUAUUCCAAAUAAGAAACCAUCAAUGGAGGAGUUGCUAAUGCUGUACAUGGCCAAGACAAACUCCCCCAUCAUAGUCAAGUAGCCUCAUUGAGAAACCUUGAGAUGCAAGUUGGACAAUUGGCAAGCUUACUCAACAACAAAGCUCAAAGGACUUUAUCUAGUGACAUAAAGGCAAAUCUGAAUAGGGAAGGUAAAAAGAAAGUUAAGGCAUUACAUUGAGAAAUGGUAAGGAGAUUAAAGGCAACACUCGAAUUGUUGAGUAUAAGAAAAAAAGUUUAUUAGAAAAAAAUACCAUUUUGAAAAUAAUACCAAACCUAUUUUUUUUCUCUCACUUCCUCACUCCUCUCUCUAAAGCACAGAAGAUAAAAAAUUUUUUACUUCAUUUUCAAAAAAAAAGAAAUGAAAAUAUUUAAAUAUUAUUUAACUAUAAUAAAUAUUAUAAAGAAUAUUAUUUAAUAUUAUUAUUUGAAUAUAUUAAAUGUAAUAAAAAACAUUAUUUAGUAUUAUUUAAAUUUAAUGAAGAACAAAUUUUGUCUUUUAAUAUUAAAUAUUAUUUAAUUAUAAUAAAAGGUUUAAUAUCUUUUAGUACAAAAUAUUAUUAAAUUAUAAUAAAAAUAUGUUUACAUUUUGAUGAAAAUAUUAUUUAAUUAUAGAAAAAGGUAUUUGGAUUUUAUUACUUAGAAUAUUUUUAUCUCUCUACAAAAUAAAUUCUUUAAUUUUAAUAAAAAGUUUUUUUUUCUCAUUAUAGUAUUUUUUAAUUAAAAAUCUUUAAAUUUUAAUAAAGGGUAUUUUUAUCAUUUACCAAUAAUUCCUUAACUAUUCUUAAAAUUAUUCCUGCCAACCAAAUAAUGUAAUUAGUAUUAUUUAAAUCUAAUGAAGAAUAUAUUUUGUCUUGUAAUAUUAAAUAUUAUUUAAUUAUAACAAAAGAUUUAAUUAUCUUCUAAUACAAAAUAUUAUUAAAUUAUAAUAAAAUAUGUUUACAUUUUGGUGAAAAUAUUAUUUAAUUAUAGUAGAAGGUAUUUUGAUUUUAUUACUUGGAAUAUUUUUGUCUUUUAACAAAAUAAAUUCUUUAAUUUUAAUAAAAAGUAUUUUUUGCUCAUCAUAGUAUUUUUUUAAUUAAAAAAUCUUUAAAUUUUAAUAAAAGUUAUUUUUAUCAUUUACCCAUUAUUCUUUAACUAUUCUUAAAAUUAUUCUUGCCAACUAAAUAAUAUAAUAAAUAAUAAUAGCAAUUUCUAUCAUAUUUCAUUCUCAUGAACCAAUUUACAUAAUAGUUAUUCUUCCCAUAUUCUAUUCCCUUAGAAUGGCUAUUUUAUUCCCAUUCUAUUCCUUCCGGUGAAACAAACAUGCUGUAAGAGAAAUAAGCAACAACUAUUCUUAAAGUAAUUUAAAACAAAAUAACAUAAAAUUAAACUAAAAUGACUUAAAUUAAACUAAUCAACAUGUAAUCAAACUUAACUACGAAAAACACCUUAAAAUACUAAAAUUUGAACCUAAAAUCUCAAAGACCUAGCUACUUAAGCCCCCAAAAUGUGUCAAAAUAACUCUAUAUAAUAGAGUUAUCACAAGCCUUGGGAUAAAGUGCCCUAGGCUAUUCUGUGUCUAUUAGCAAAGUGUCAGGAUUAGUGCAGAGUCUAGUUCAUGAUUUGUGACUACAACACAGGUCAUGAAUAAAAGGCUACACGAACUCCCAAGUUCUUACUAAGGUAGCCUUUCUGGACCAUGAAUUUUGGAUUUUGAAUAUGGUGUUUUCUUCAUCUAAGUAUAGCAUGCCACCUAAGACAAGAGUCACUUCAUCUAAGUAAGACGACCAUCUUACUGAAAGAGGAGUCACCUUAAAAGAUUUGGCAGCAGGGCUGUAAAGUUUGGCACACAAAUUUGUUGAGUUUCGAAGUAGGGGUAAGGUGCAACCUAAAGAAUGGGUCAAUUCUAGUUUACAAAAGAUAGAGUUUCUACAUCAAGUUGAGCAUGAGAAAAGGGUUGUUGAGGUUACUUUAGCAGACUUUAUGAAACUCAAAUCCUCGUUAUGGACUAGAUCAGAUGCAAAGGAAGAUCGAUAGAGAUUUUUGAAGGAUAUGGAGUGCAUAUGUACUGUGUUGGGAUGCUUCACUUAUUGAUUAGUAAAAUUGAUGGGGUUUAGAUUGAAAAAUGUGUCUCAGAUAUGGUUUAUAUCCCUCAAGAAAGGUAAGCCAUCUGGUUUAACUCCAAUGACAUGGGAAGAGUUUGUACAAGUUUUCUUAGAUUGCUUUUUGCUUGAAAUCAUGAGAGACGCUAAGGCACAAGAAUUUAAGACUUUGAUACAGACCCAAGACAUGUUGGCAACAGAGUAUGAUGUCCGAUUCACCCAAUUAUCUCAUUAUGUUCCUGAUUUAAUCCUGAUUGAGGAAAAACGGAUUAAGAGGUUUGUAAGAAUUUUAAUUGAGCCAUUAUUCCAAGUUAUUGCCACCCAGAGGUUUGCCUCCUACUUUGCAAUGGUGGAUGUAGCCAGACUGAUUAAGACUAGGAGAAUGGAUGCUAUGAUGGAAAGGAAAAAGGGUUAAAGGGUUUGAACACAAGGCCAAUAAGGCUGAACGAAUUCCAGUGUGACUUGAAGUCCAGUUACUGUAGGCCAUCAGGGUUGUGAAGGAAUCACUUUGGCGCCCAGGUCACCACAAAGUAGUAAUUCAUUUAGUCCAUCUACUAAGCGAGAGUAAUCUAGUGCAUCAUCUGGUUUGGGCCUCAACAGAGGGGUGUUCUGUGUAACCAUUGUGUGAAAGCACAUGGUGGGCUGUGCGAUCAAGCAGUUGGGUUAUGCUUUGGGUGUGGUCAGUUGGACAUUUGAUGAGAGAUUGCCCAAGGCCCAGAUAGUCGUCAGGAGUGAACCAUGGAUAUGUGAAAUCAGUUACGACUACCCACCUAAAAGGGCACCAUUUAUGAGGAAUGUUAAGGUUGAUAAAGGCAAGGGUGUAGCCAUAUCAUCUUAGGGUUGGCCAAUAUAAUCAGGUAAUGUAAGUGGAGGCCAAGUAAGGGUGUUUGCUUUGACACUGCAAGAUGCCUAAAAUUCAAAUGCAGUACUCACUAGUACACUUUCUGUUUGCGGUACUGAAGCAUUGGUUUUGUUUGAUCCUAGAUCCACACAUUCAUUUGUGUCACCACAUUUUAUACCGAAGUUAGAUGGAUUUUGUUGUGGAAUAGAGGAACCCUUGAUUGUGACUACUCCUUUAGAGGAAAUGUUUAUGACAUAAUAUGUAUACAAGUCCUAUGUAGUUCGUAUUAAAGACAAGGACACUUUAGUAGACUUAAUGUUAUUGUUGACUCUUGACUUUGAUGUAAUCUUGGGAAUGGAUUAGUUAGCAUCUUGUUAUGCUAAAAUGGAUUGCCACUAUAAGUCAGUGAAGUUUAAGUUUUCGGGAGAGCCUUCGUUUGUCAUUUAAGGGCAUAACAGUCCAAUGUCUACAAAAGUUAUGUCAAUUUUGGCCGUUAGGCGAAUGCCAAGGCAAAAAAGCCAAGGAUAUCUAGUGAUGACGAGAGAUGUUCCAAUGGACGAAAUGAGUUGAAUUCUGUGUUGGUAAUAGGUGCAUUUUUUUAUGUGUUUUUAGAGGAAUUACCUAAGUUACCUCCCAAAAGGGAGAUUGAAUUUUGUGUUGAUUUAGUAUCAGAUACAAGGACAAUUUCCAUACCUCCGUAUCAAAUGGCACUAGCUAAACUAUAAGAGCUCAAUGAGCAACUAAAGGAUCUGUUGAAUAAAGGCUUCGUUCGCUCGAGUGUUUUGUCAUAGGGAGCUUUGGUGCUGUUUGUGAAAACGAAAUAUAGGAGCCUUUGAUUGUGUAUUGACUACUAGUAACUCAAUCAAGUGACAACAAAGAAUAAAUAUCCACUCCCACAAACAAACUAUUUAUUCGAGCAGUGGUAGGGUGCAACGUACUUUUCAAAGAUUAACUAGUGCUAUGGGUAUCAUCAAUUGAAAAUUUGGAAGACCAAUAUACCCAAGACCGUAUUCCACACACAUUAUGGGCAUUAAGAAUUUAUAGUAAUGUCGUUCAGACUCACUAACGCCUUUACAACCUUUAUGGACUUGAUGAACAGAGUUUUCUAGGUGUAUUUAUACAGAUUUAUAGUCGUAAUUCAUAAAUGACAUAUUAGUGUAUUGAAGGAGCUCGGAAGAGCAUGCACAACACUUGAGAAUUGUGCUUCAAAUGCUCAGAAAACUGUCAGUUAAAUUUCACUACGUAAGUAUACGUAUCGAAUAGAUAGUAUAUAAGCAAGCAAAGUAUCGAUCUCACAGGGAAUUGACCUAAAAUUUUACUAAGUAAUAAAAUUAGAACAAUUUAAUCUUAUCCAAACAAUCAAUAUCAAAUAACUAAAUUAAUUAGCUAAAAAUACCUAACCAAAAUUUAACUAAGAAAAAUAAAAAAUAAUAAAAACUUGGAUAAAUAUCAAAUCAAAUUAGCCUAGGAUUACAAUAUCUCUCACACUUCAUCUAAAUCUUACCUCUCUUCCUUAACUUAUUUCAAUGGGUUGAAUUGCUAACCUAGAGUUCUAAAUUAUUUAUAAGGGUCUCCCGACUCAUUUUAUAAAAAUAUCUAUUUUAACCAAAACACUAUAUCCCUAUGUAAAUUAAAAUUAAUACAGACUCAUUAAGUUCAGACUCUAAUCUGGCUACAUAUGGCCUAUAGGUAUAUCCCUAUCCUAUACGCAAAUCAAUUAAUAUGAUUGUCAAGACCCGGAACUCCCAUGGAGCCCGUGACAACCGUCGUAAAGUCUCGUCAGACAUUCUUUAUCCCGAAUGUUGACCGGAACCUCGCAAGGCUUUCGUAUCAGUUUUCUUACCUCUCCUGUGAUCGACAGUAACUAAAAUCAUGUUUUGAAACCAUAUGGACCAUUUUCCCAUCCAAAAACAAUGAAAAUUUAUUUUUGUCUCAUAGGGGUAUUUUAGUCAUUUUUCUUUAAAAAUACCGAAACCCUCCAAAAACAUGGUGUAAAAGCUAAAUAUGUUCAUACAUGCUUUAAAUCAGAUAACUGAAGUAUAAAAUUACUUUUAUAGUGACACGUGUGCCCCCAACUAACCAAGAAGGUGUAAGGCUACGAACCCUUACUUUCUAGGAUGCAACUCCGAGAUUAAUUCUCGUAUUAAUCAACUAUCAACAAAUUGUCCUAAGCCUAAAAAAUGGAUAGGAAGAGGGGUGAAUUACAUAAUCCUAGUGAGUAAACAGACACCAUCUAAACUAUCUAAAGGCGAGUAAAUGGAGAUGAAUUAAAAUAUUCUUUUCAAUAUAUGUUUCAUAACAUGAAUAUUCAGUUUACUCAAUUAAUCAAUAUGGCUUAUAUAUCUCACAAAACUUGGCUCCUGCCAAAAUCAUUCUCGUGGGUAUCUUCGUCAAGGUAUCCCACUGAGACCUCCAUGGCUGUUAAAUGUCUUUACAUCCUAAAUUCUAACCAUGCCUUGGCGUUGGCUGAGUCUCACUCUCACGCGGUGGUCCACGUGAAGUGCACUCAAAUCUUUACCUCCAGAGAUACCCUCCACACGGCUCUCCGAUAAAGGUAACGUAUAUCUGAUUCUGUGCCCCCUCUCUUAGGCUGGUCCACAGAACUUCCACUACAGGGAUUAUGGAUUAUUUUAUCUACCACCUGAUUUAUAAAACCUUUUUCUGCAUGACAUGGUAAUUUAUCGCAAUCUAGCCUCUCAAGGCUGAAUACACAGUAUAAAUAAUUUUGAUAUAAACACCGACUUUGCCAUUCAUGAUCACAUAUUGCUAUAAGCCAUAUAAUUUAAAACACAAUUUAUAACACAAGCAGGCAAUCUCCAAUUACUCUAUUUUCAAAACUAGUAUUCAAUUUUCCAGAAAAUUUAUAAAAUCAUUUUAUAAAAUCACAAUUUCUCCUACAACAUAGUAAUUUACCAUUUAAACCCAUUUUCUAUAAAAUCACACAAUUGUAUAAAACUACUCUAGAUAAUUAAGACGAUAAUAAGUUUACUCACAGUAUUAGGAGUAGAAAUACUAGUAUUUUCAGUCCGCGGGUACAGUCAUUUACCCGUAUCCAAUGG
RNAcentral lists this long non-coding RNA (6985 nucleotides) under Theobroma cacao (cacao). RNAcentral's name for it is "long non-coding RNA (TCAC_LNC002914)". Lineage: Eukaryota; Viridiplantae; Streptophyta; Magnoliopsida; Malvales; Malvaceae. The record is from RNAcentral.